This is a long non-coding RNA of Trichomycterus rosablanca, 500 nucleotides long. RefSeq lists it as uncharacterized. The transcript is spliced from 3 exons. Lineage: Eukaryota; Metazoa; Chordata; Actinopteri; Siluriformes; Trichomycteridae. The record is from RefSeq and is a predicted model, not a curated record.
GUGUGUUCGUGUGAGCGUGUAAGGAAAGAUAACUGACGCUUAACCGCAAUUAUAAAAAACUAGUCUGAAAUUAAAUGAGUUCCUAACCGCUCCGAAUGACUGACAAUGUGAACGGUAGAAAUCCACAGCGGCGCCGACAGAGGAGCAGCAGCGCCUGACGUCUCAGGCAAGCUUGAGCCCAGAUAAAUCAUCAGCGUUUAUGGAUGUUAGUGAUACGGAUUCUGCUCUGCAUAGUAAAGACUUAACUUGAUUGUGUAGAUGCAGCAACAAGCUAUGUUUACAGACAGAGGUUGAGUGGUCCGGGUCCUUUCUGUGUGGAGUUGGCAUGUUCUCCCCGUGUCUUCGUGGGUUUCCUCCAGAUGCUCCGGUUUCCUCCCACAGUCCAAAGACAUGCAAGUGAGGUGAAUUGGAGAUACAGAAUUAUGACAAAAAUUGUUUGACAUUAAAUACUUGAACUGAUGAAUUUUGUGUAACAAAUUACUACCUAUCCUGUCGUAAAU